GAAGAGUUAAGCAAUGUGAACACUAAAAAUCAGUGUAGUUGUGUGUGCAAUUGUGGAGGGAGGGGCUAAAUUAAAUCUACAUUAUAAUUAGAGGAAAUAUACAAAUGAUGAAUCUCUUGCCAUACAUAGCCAAAGCUUUUGCUCUAUUGGUUCCAGAUGAAAAACAGCGAGAAUUCAAGUCUGACAAUCAAAUGUUUACUGAAGCAAGCUCAAUGAAUAGUGCCAGUUCAUCAGGAUCUUCAGAAGGAAGGCAGCAGUUCAAAACAAACUUUGCGUCCACUAGCAGUCACAAUGGGAGACCAAGAAUAUUCUGUGAUUAUUGCAGAAGGUUAAGGCAUAUCAGGGACAAGUGCUUUAAACUUCACGGUUAUCCCCAAACCAACACUCAUGGCAAUGACCAAACCAGAUAUAAUAAUUCACAGAAUCAAAGGUUUGAACCUCACAACAAUCAACCCCAUAGAUCUGCCAAAGGGAAAGGCAUUGCAGCAAAUGCAUUUGGGAUUGAUGAUGAGACCACUGCAGCACACAUUGAUGAACAUCCACACAUUUCAAGUCCCAAUCUUAUUAAGGAUCAAUAUGGACAACUUCUUAGCCUGCUACAACAAUUUCAAAGGGGUCCUACAGGGGAAACUAAUGAAGAUCAGGGUGCAAGUGGAUUUCAGGUAUGAUAACUUGUAACUCUUCUUUUGAUUUUGACAAACCUUCAUAUGAAUGUCUUAAAACAGGAUUUGAUUUGUGGAUAUUAGAUUUAGGGUCUACACACCACAUGACUUUAAUAAAAAUCAUUUUUCAGACAUUAUUACUUUACCAUAUCCCAUGCUAGUAAACUUACCCAAUGGAUACAAGGUAAAAGUGACUGAAGUCGGAACUGUAAAACUUGCUCCCAUGAUCACAUUGUACAAAGUACUCUUCAUCCCCUCUUUCAGAUACAACUUGAUCUCAAUCAAUUCCUUCACAAUCCACGUCAAGUGUAUUGCUUCAUUCUCCAAUUCCACUUGUGUUUUGCAGGGCCCUUCAAUGAUAGGCCACUGGAAUUUGGUAGAGCUCAAGAUGGACUCUACUUUCUUUGCUCAACAUAUCUACAGAAGAAAUGCUUUGCUUCCAAUAAAUGUCCUACCUCUAAUGAUAGUAAAGUAUGUAGUAUGUGUCAUUCUCAUUCAUGUUCCUAUACUCCUUUAUCAAAUGUAAAAUACUCAUCUACUCCAUGUCCUUCCAUUCCUAAUGUAGUGACAACUAUUCAGAAUAAUAAAAUUGUUGCUUCCCAUUCUCUACAUUAUGUGCCUACUUUACAACCAUCUCAUGAAAGCAAAACAUAUCGUCCAUUCUUGUAAAAGUUUUUGUCAAACAACCUUUUUCUUGUGGUAUCUGCCCUAUGGAAAGACUAUCCAAACUACUAUUCCCAAUCAAAUCACAUAACACAACCAAAAUAUUUGAAUUACUCCAUGUUGAUCUAUGGGGCCUUAUCAUGUUUCCACUCAUGAUAAUUUCAAAUAUUUUAUUACACUAGUAGAUGAUUUUAGCAUGUCUUGGACACAUUUGUUGAGCUGUAAGAGUAAUGCACUGCAUAUCCUUAAAGAUUUUGUUAAUAUGGUUGAAAAUCAAUUUCAAACGACAAUUCAAAUUACAGAUCCGACAAUGGUUUGGAGUUUGUAAACCAAGAAUCCAUUCUUUUCUUUUAAUCCAUGUUGACACCCAAUUUUGACCCACGACGGUAUAAAUUAAUUAUCGAGCUUCCUAAAUUUUCCAAAUAAUUUAAAUUAAUUAGUUUUAUAAUUUUGUGAAAAUAUAACGAUAUAGUGUUUACAUAGUUGUGUAUAUAGCCGGUAUAUCUUGUGUAUAUUCGAAAAUCAUCCCAAAAUAUUUUGAUUUUGAUAAUCAGUCCAUCUUAGUUUAAAAUUGUGAGUCACUAUUUUUAAAAUUUUAUUACUAGGUAAGUAAGCUCGUUAAUGAAUUUACGCCGAAUUCGUCUUACUUUAAAUCAAUUGGCCAUCUUUUAAAUUCAACUCUUUUUCCCUUUUAAUUCAUUUUGAAGAACCAAGCCCAUUUCAACUCAAAUCUCAAAUUCCUCCACUCUUCCCUCCAGCCCAACCCAAACACAACCCAACCCUUUCUUCCUCCCCCAAAUCCCUACACACCCGACCCGCUUCCCCUUUCUUUCCCCUUUCCCCACCACGCGACCCCAUUCCCAGAAAAACAGACGCCAAUCUCCCUCCCCCCCCCCCGCGUCUCCCCACGCUCGCUCCCUCCUCUCUCUCUUCUCCUCUCCCCAUCGCGCGUGGAUGGGAAGAAUUCGCAACGGACACCUGCUGCUGCAGCCUCGUACGCAGCAACGCAGUGAGCACAAAACGACGCGUGAGAAAUCGGAUUAGCAAUUUUCGGUUGGAAAAAACUUCUUUGGUUGUUCUGUUAUUUCUGAGAGAACUAAAGACUCCCCAUUUGCGGUUGGAAAGUGGAAGAAAUAAUGGUCCGCUUCUCCUCUUAAUUGGUGUUGGCUUCCCUGUUAUUGUGUUUGUCAAAACAAACAUGUCUAAGUUGUAUUUAGAUGGACUACGCCAACCUAACAAGCCCCCUGAUUGCAUCCAUACCUUCAAAAUGAAUUGUUUCAAUUUUGCGUGAGUGGUUUGUUCGGUGAAUGUCCAGCAUGUUAUUAAUAUGGGUGUGGAGGAUCGGUCUCAUUAGCCUUUGCCUCUUUUGUCUUUUGUUAGUCACCGACUUUGGCUUGUUAACUUAAAAUAUUCUGUUGCUUUUCGACACAUGUGGAGCCUUGCUUAUUUUAAUCAUUUGUCUUUUGGUUUUGCAUGAAAAUUUGUCCGAGUCCUAUGGACUUCGCCCCUUUGCAUUUUCCUUGGGCCAUGGAGGCCAGAAUUAUUUCCUUCAUCGAGUCAACCUAUCAAGACGGAAGUGCAGAUUCGAAAAUCCAUGGAGAUUGAAGAAAGUCCAAAACAAACUAGAAGACUUGCCUUAUUUUGUCGUGUAUUUACUUUGUAAUGGGCAUAAGCCCUUGUUGUUUCUAUUUACCGCAUUUAUUUUCAUAUGCUUAGACUAGGACAGGUACGAAAGAGAAAUGGGUCGAAACCCAAUGGGUCCAAGUUUCGGUCAAGGCGAACAGAACCCGAAAACUUGGACCCAAAUCUCUCUCCUUCUCUCUCUCUAUCUCUCUUUGCUACUUGUUUACUUUUUGUUUUGAGUGCCGUUAGUCUAGGAUUAGAAAACUCCAACCCCGCCGAACACCUUUCGCUUUAUCGAACUCAAAAAUUAAAACUGAAUCUCAAAACAAUAAAAUGUCAAAUUCACAAGUUUGCUUAGAGUUAAAAUUUAAAAAGUUUAACUUUAACGGAAUAUUAAAACAAUAAAUGUUGCAAAACUCGUAAUUUGUCUAAAUGAAACUUUAAUAAGUUCAACUUCAAGAUUGCAAAAAAUAAAAAUAAAUAGUCAAAUUGUUAAUCGCCGGAUAAUCGUAUUUAACGGAGCGUCUUAGGUGCCUUCAACACCUUCCUAAGACGCUAAUAUGAAUCCCGAACCCCCUAAAAUAUUUUUAAAACGAUUUUUCCUUUUUAAGUUGUUUUUGAGAAUAAGUUUUCUUAAUCUUUUCAAAAUUAAGUGGCGACUCCUAAAAGUCGAAAAUGUCUCUAAAAAUAAAACAAACUCUUUUCGAAAUUAUUUUUUCGAUAAAACAAUCCAAAGGUAUAAUUCACCAAAAAUCAUGUCCGUACACACCACAACAAAAUGGUGUAGUAGAGCGAAAACACAAAUACCUACUAGAAACUUCUAGAGCAUUACUUCUUCAAUCCAGAUUACCAACAAAAUAUUGGGGAGAGUGCAUACUCGCAGCAACCUUUAUUAUUAAUAGACUACCAUUUGUUGUAUUGCAUAACAAGUCCCCAUUUUCAAUAUUGUACAACAAAGAACCUCAAUAUUCAUACAUGAAAAUCUUUGGUUGCUUGUGUUAUCCCACCACACCUAAGUCACACAUAACCAAAUUUGAUCCUAGAGCUACUCCUCAUGUGUUUAUAGGAUAUCUUUUUGGUACAAAGGGCUACAUUGAAUCUGGUCACUCACAAAAUCCAUAUGUCCAGGGAUGUUGUGUUUCAUAAGACUGUAUUUCCUUUUUCUCUCCCUGAUAAAAUGAAUCCUCCUAAUUCUCCCAGUCUAUCCUUUCCUGUGUUCGACCACUCUCCUUCUUAUGUGGUUAACAUUACUAAUGAUAAUUCUGCUACUAUGCUCAAUCCACAUAAUGUACAAUGUGAUCAUGACAAUGAAUGUGUUACAACUCCAAUCCAGUUACCAGAUCCUUCACUUCAUCCUGUUGAACAACCACCAAUCAGGAAAUCUAUCAGGCCUCACAAACCACUAACUUACUUAAAUGACUAUGUUUGUACUAAACCACAACCUACCAUCACCACUCCAAUCUCCUAACAUGGUUCCUUCUCUAACCAUCACCAUGAAACUUCUACUUUUCUAUAUCCUGAUAGUCAGGCUCUUGUUUUAAGUGUCUCAAAUGAUUGUGAGCCAUCAUCAUAUGAAGUUGUUGUUAUGAACCCUGCAUGGCAAGCAGCAAUGACGCAAGAGGUAUCUGCUCUCCAUGACAACAACACUUGGGAUCUCAUGCCACUUCCUCCUGGGAAGAAGGUCAUUGGUUGUAGAUGGGUGUACAAAGUCAAACACAGAGCUGAUGGGUGCAUAGAGAGAUACAAGGCUAGGCUGGUUGUGAAGGGUUACACCCAACACUAUGUCAUUGACUACACAGAAACAUUCUCCCCUGUCAUCAAAAUGACUACUGUUAGAGCUUUGAUUGCCACUGAUGUGAAGAAGCACUGGAACAUUUACCAACUAGAUGUGAAUAAUGUUUUUCUACAUGGAGAAUUACAUGAGGAAGUUUAUAUGACAGUCCCACAAGGAUUACAGGUUCAUAAUACUGAGUUGGUUUGAAAGCUCGAUAACUCUUGAGUCUAGGGGUCAUACUCACUCUCUCAAUGACUACUCCUUGUUUUACAAGAAGAAAGGCUCUUCUAUUGGGUUUAUUGUAGUUUAUGUAGAUGAUAUUCUACUUAUAGGCACUGAUCUUGAAGAGAUUAACAGUCUAAAGAGCUUUCUACAGAACCAGUUCAGAAUUAAAAAUCUAGGGAAGCUGCACAAUUUCUUAUUUCUGGAGACUCUACACACUAAAGUUGGAAUUCUUAUUUCACAAAGAAAAUUUAUCCUUGAUCUCCUCAAGGAAUAUCAUUGUUCUGAAUACACCAGUGUUGCCUCUCCCUCUUGAUGCAUCGGUUAAGAUCAGGGCAAAGAAGGGCAGCCUAUUUCUGAUCCCAGUUCUUAUAGAAAAUUGGUUGGGAAGUUGAACUUCCUCACUAAUACUAGGUUGGAUAUUGCCUAUGGGGUUCAACACCUUAGCCAAUUCAUGCAAGAUCCUAGGGAACCUCACAUGAAAGCAGUAUACCACAUGCUUAGGUACCUUAAGAAGGAUCCAAUAUUGGGCUUACUCAUGACUUCUACUGAUGAUUACAAGGUUCAAGCUUUUUGUGAUUCUGACUGGGGUGCUUGCCCAGAUUCGCAAAAAUCAGUACAUGGUACAUUGUGCUACUAGGUUCUAGUCCAAUCAGCUGGAAGUCUAAGAAACAAGAAAUUAUUUCACUUUCAUCUGCUGAAGCUGAAUACAAAUCCCUUCGGAAAGUAGUUGGAGAAUUGACUUGGUUAAAUCGAUUGUUUGCCAGGAACCCCGUAUUACACGAAAGAACUAAACAUAUUGAAAUUAACUGUCAUUUUGUGCGUGCUAAGCUUCAAGAAGGCCUGUUUUCUUUGCAUCAUAUUGGAACUAAUGAUUAGUUGGCUGACAUACUCACUAAGGCUCUUACAGGGAUUAAACAUUCUGAUGUUCUAGACAAGUUGGAUGUGCUCAGUUCACCUCCAACUUGAACGGGGACAUUGGGAAUAUUAUCUAAUUUUACUUUACACGUAUAUUAAUUAACAUUUGUUAGAGUUAGUAAAAAAAUUAGUUACACAACUUUAUAAUUGCUUUCUGUACAGAAUCAGUUAGAUUUGUUAUUUCUUCUAGAAUUAUCUUUAGCUCUAUAAAUAAGAGUUGUCACAAAUGUAAUUGCAUUUAGUUCAUUCAAUCCAAUUCUGAGAAGCUUUCUGUUAUUCCAUCUUCAUCUUCUCCAAAGAAGUCUCCAUGAAUCUCUUUUCUAUAAUUGAUCUUCUGUGUUCUUAAUCAUCAUCAAACCUACAUUGGUUCUUGCUAGGUUUUAAAGGCAUGUCAUUUGUCUGUAAAUAUGUUUUCGUAAUCGUUUUGCUAUGGUCAUUGGUUGUGGUUCAAUACCAUGUUGACCCAAUGGAUAAGCUAUGAAGUGCUUAAAAAUCAGUUUGAUCAGCUUAUAAGCUAUGAAGUGGUUCAGUUCAUGAUCAUUUAGCUUUGUCUAUUGAUUAUGGUUCAACAGCUCGAUGGUUCACUGAUAUGUUAACACCUGUUUUAUAAGCCAGUUUUACCAGUUUAAUCAAAUGCCCCUUUUACUCUCUUAUAUCUUUUUAAUGUCUACAAUAGUUUUUAUGUUGCUUGUUUAAAUCUCUGUAUCCACUUUUUCUAUUGAAUCUAAUAAAUAUGAAAUGCUAAAUAUCUAAUUGGAGACUAAACAUAGUUAACAACUAAAUUAUUUUAUGCUUAUCUUUAAACAUGUGUUAUGAUUUUUGUCAUUUUCUUGACUAAACAUUAUAGUUAAAAAAAAAUGUUAUAAAAGACAAAUGUCAUUAAUCACAUCAAUUUUUUUUUCCUUAAUAAGUGGAGUCAUCCACCUUUGACUAGUAGAUAAAAUAUUUUCUUGGUUUAAUUGUCCAAGAGAUCUAGACGGCUUGUCACUUUUGAUUUUAGUCAUCAUUAAUAAAUGAACUUAGCAUAAAAAAAAAUAAUUAGUUUAGUUGAGUUGUCAUGAUUAAUUGGAUUGCUUCUACUUUUAUGAUUGGAGCAUUCUAGCUUCUUCUUUUUUUCUCUCUUUGAAAAGAUAGAAACGGAAAAAGAUUUAGAACGUUAUUAAACUAUUGAAAAUAGUAUUAAAAAAUUUUUUUUCACCGAUGAGCUUACAAAUAUCUUCGAUAACCACCUUUAGGUUUUAUAUUGAUCUUAUUUUUAAUAUUUCUAAGAAAUUGUUUGGUGUGUGGGAUUAAAAAUAAUAGUGAUGUGAUAAAAAAAAUUAUCUUGUUUGGUUGCCAUGUUUGGAAUAAUUUAUUCCACCAUUUAUAUCAUAGUUAUUGAAUAAGUCAUUUCAUAUACAUGUGGGAUAAGUUAUCUUAGAAUAGCUAACCCAGAAUAACUUAUACUGCUGCAACUUGUUCCUAACCAAAUGACACCUAAAUGAAUUUAUUAAUGAUGUGGCGGUCAAUGGUCAUCUAUGGAUUGUCUUUUAAAGGCUUAAGUUCUAUUCAGCACCCUAAAGUUGUCUGCAUAUUUCACUUGAACACCUAAAUUGAGAUUUGUACCUAUUAAACACCUCUAGUAGUUUAAAUUGAUAUCACUUAAACACGUUUUGCCUACAUGGCACUUUAAAUGUGAUUCACGGAAAAUGAGCGCGUGAAAACAUAUCUUUAGACAUUUUAAUUAUUUUUUUUAAAAAAAAAAUCUCUUUCUUCUUCCUUAAGAAGGUUACAGUCACUUUCUCCGACAGUCACCAUUGCUGCCGCCACCAUACACCUUCUUCUUCAUACAUUCUUUUAUCCCUCCUCAUUUAAGUCGUUGGCACUAUCAUCUCCGCCAUUAACGUCGCUGCUCAGUCAUUUUUUUUCUUCAAAUCUAUAUGCUUGGUCGUGUUUUUUCUUCAGUUUUAGAAUGAAUUGGUUGUGUUUUUCUUCUUCAAGUCUUGGACUAAAUUAUUUUUUAUGGAUUUGUGAAAGAAAGCAAGGUUACAACGCCAUUAACGUCGUUGCUCAGUUGUAAUUUUAUUUAUUUUGAAUCUCAAUCUUCCGGAAUUGAUUUAAGUUAGAAGAGAAAAUGAUGGAUUGUUUCCAAUGGAUGGCAGCACCGUGGUAGGGGAACACUAUUUGGUGGGUGGAUGGUUGGGUUGUAAAGGGUUACCUAACAAUUAUUUUUUAAACUUUAAAAUAUAUUUUUUUCUUUUUCUUAUUUUUUUAAUAAUAUUUUUGACCCACAUGACAUAUGUCAUAAUUUAAUUUGUUGUUGUGCCAUGUCAUCGCGAGUGUAUCUCACUCACUUAAUAUUUGGGGCUGAUUAUUAAUAAAAUGUCAAAUAGGUAUCAAUCUGAAGUACUAGAGGGGUUCAAUAGCUACAGAUCGUAGUUGAAGUGUCCAUGUGAAAUCUCCGGACAACUUUAAGUGGCCGCAUAUGACUUAAGCCUCUUUUAAAUAAUAUAUUGAUGUUGGCAAAAUUGAUCAUAAAAAGAUUAAUUUCACUUUCUUUUUUUUUUGAUAAUUUGAGACUAAAAAUAUGGAUGGAUAGACUUGAGCUUCCUCUUUGUAACAUUAUUGUUCUCUUUCUCCCAUCUACAUCCCCAUGGAGUAAACACUUUUGCAAAUUUAAAGGUCCUAUCCUAGAAAUAGAAGAUAAAAUAAAUCACAAAUGGAAAAGUGAUCAAAUUGAUUUUCUUUUUGACCAAACAAUGCCAAAAGGAAAGAAAAUUGUUGUCAUUUGAAUAUCUAAUGUACACAAUUAAGAAAAGACAUUCUAAAAUGGUGAAAGAAUAAGUGGAAUGAGGAGAAGAAUGGAGACCUCUUUCUAGAGUGACAAUCCUAUCUAACCAAAAAAGGAAAUUCAAUUCCCAUCUUCAACUUGUGCAUGAUUGAUCCUAAUUUUAAAAAUAAUAUUCAUAUAUAAUACUCGCGCCGUUUCAAAAAAGAAUAAUCUCGUUUUCUUUUAGUUUAUUUUAAAAAAAAAGAGUUAUUUUUUGGUAACAUUUUAAUAUUACAUUUCCACGUGGCAUAUUUAAGGCCACAAGAUAAAAGAAUAAUUUUAUAUAUUUAAUAUAACUUUAAUUUAGGACCACAAGAUUCAGAACUCUUUUUUACUUUCUUAUACUCCAUGUCUAGUUAAAACAUGUCACUCCUUUGAAACGAAAGGAGUAUUGAUUACACAAUUGUGUACGGACCACCUAAAAUAUGUAUUUAUUAUCAGAUAUUAAAAUCUAUGACAAAGCGCAAUACUUAAAAUGUUUUAUAAAAGAACAACAACAAUACUAAGAUCAGCUAGAACAAAUGAUCACCAGAAAGAAUUAAUAAAUUAUCUAGAAAGAUAGAUAUUACUGUUAUUAAUGUUUGUCUCAUAUGCUAUAACUUAGAAGAAGAUUUUCUAAAGGACCAACAUUUCAAAUCUAAUACGUUAUUAUAUUUAUAUAUAUUUCUCUUUUUAACCAAUCAAUAUAUAAUAAGAAAAGAGUUUGAACUUGCUAUCGUAUUAUUGAAACUUUGAGCAAUUCUGUCAUCCAUUAAACUUUCAACCCCAUAGUCUUUUCAUUAUUAAAUCAUUUUAUAUUAGCUUUUUUCAUUAAAAGGAAUUUAGGAAACUUCGUAUGUUUGCGUUACACAAACAAAUUUUGUUCUUGUUUGGAAAUCCAAUAUACGCCAUCGUGAUACAUUUUAUUUUUCUUUAUCAAUGUUGUCAAAAAUAAUUCAAGAAACGACUUGCAAGUAGACAUAUAGUAAUUGAAAAUAAGGUGAAUUACAUGGGAAUUUUUCUAAGGAAUAGCAUGAAAAUUUGCAGAAAAAAACUUUUUCACGAAUUUCCAAAAAAAUUCCUAUGUAAUUCACACUUUUCUUGUAGAUACCUUUUAAUUAGAACACAAGCAACAUGUAAUUUAUCUAUUUUUAGUUUUGCUCAUAUAUCUUCUCAUUCGACUUUAACGUAUGAAAUCAUUUACAUCAGCUAAAUACAUAAAAUAAGUGCAGUUAAGAUCAUUCAAAGUAGAAUAGAGUCUGAGUCAUUGAAUAACUUAUGAUACGGAGACGACCAAUAAACUUAUUAUAACAUGAAUUUUUGAAACUACAAGAUAUUGAGCAUACGAUAUACAUAUAAUACAUAUAUGUAAGAUUAUGUAAACGAAAUUUCACGGUAUAAAAAGAGUUAUUAGUAUGCAUACCUUGCGGAUUGAAGAAAUUGAAAUCCAUAGUUGAUUAGAAUAUCAUGCUAAUAACGUGUUUUAAAAUUUAUAGCAAAUAAAAUAAUAUAAAAUAAGAUCUCUUUAGACAAGGGUAUUGGAGUGUCUUCCAACAAAUAUGAAGAAUAUCUUGUUAGAGAAUAUACAAAUCGUAGUUAGAUAUAAAAAUUAAGUCAUGCCUUAA
Molecule: long non-coding RNA, 10275 nt
Filed under: Solanum lycopersicum (tomato)
Lineage: Eukaryota; Viridiplantae; Streptophyta; Magnoliopsida; Solanales; Solanaceae
Description: long non-coding RNA (SLYC_LNC001254)
Source: RNAcentral